Molecule: ribosomal RNA, 250 nt
Filed under: uncultured bacterium
Lineage: Bacteria
Description: partial 16S ribosomal RNA
Rfam family: Bacterial small subunit ribosomal RNA
Source: RNAcentral
UACGUAGGAGGCAAGCAUUAUCCGGAUUUAUUGGGCGUAAAGUGUGCGUAGGUGUUCUGUAAAGUCUUAUCUUAAAGACCGGGGCUUACCCUCGGGAUUGGAUAGGAUACUAACAGAAUUGAGGAUUGGUAGGGAUGCUGGAACAGUAUGUGUAGCAGUGAAAUGCGUUGAUAUAUACUGGAACACCGAUGGCGAAGGCAGGCAUCUGGGCUCUUCCUGACACUGAGGCACGAAAGCUAGGGUAGCGAAA